Molecule: microRNA, 23 nt
Filed under: Equus caballus (horse)
Lineage: Eukaryota; Metazoa; Chordata; Mammalia; Perissodactyla; Equidae
Description: eca-miR-8967
Source: miRBase by way of RNAcentral
AUAGUCAGGGGGAGCUGAGUUUC